This 498-nucleotide ribosomal RNA is filed under the name uncultured bacterium. RNAcentral describes it as "partial 16S ribosomal RNA". It matches the Rfam family "Bacterial small subunit ribosomal RNA", at positions 30 to 523 of the family's 1533-position model. The record is from RNAcentral.
AUUGAACGCUGGCGGCAUGCCUAACACAUGCAAGUCGAACGCUACUUGAGGGGCAACUCUUAAGUGGAGUGGCGGACGGGUGAGUAAUACGUAGGCAUCUGCCUUAGAGUGGGGGAUAACCUGUCGAAGGACGGGCUAAUACCGCAUAACCUCUACGGAGCAAAGGAGGCUAGCAAUAGCUGUCGCUUUAAGAUGAGCCUACGUCGGAUUAGCUAGUUGGUAGGGUAAAGGCCUCCCAAGGCAACGAUCCGUAGCUGGUCUGAGAGGACGAUCAGCCACACUGGAACUGAGACACGGUCCAGACUCCUACGGGAGGCAGCAGUGGGGGAUAUUGGACAAUGGGGGAAACCCUGAUCCAGCAAUGCCGCGUGUGCGAUGAAGGCCUGCGGGUUGUAAAGCACUUUCGGUGGGGAAGAAAUACUCAAAUUUAAUACAUUUGAGAGGUGACAUUACCCAAAGAAGAAGCACCGGCAAACUCUGUGCCAGCCGCCGCAGUAA